UUAGUUGAAGCCAAAUCAGAGGCAUUUUAAUGUUAAUAAAAAGAUUGAAUAAUUAUUCCAGCUAAA
Molecule: transfer RNA, 66 nt
Filed under: Mendozana platypleura
Lineage: Eukaryota; Metazoa; Arthropoda; Insecta; Hemiptera; Cicadidae
Description: tRNA-Asn
Source: RNAcentral